This 342-nucleotide unclassified non-coding RNA is filed under the name uncultured Auriculariales. RNAcentral describes it as "partial contains 5.8S ribosomal RNA, internal transcribed spacer 2, and large subunit ribosomal RNA". The stretch from base 1 to 105 matches the Rfam family "5.8S ribosomal RNA", at positions 50 to 154 of the family's 154-position model. Lineage: Eukaryota; Fungi; Basidiomycota; Agaricomycetes; Auriculariales. The record is from RNAcentral.
GAAAUGCGAUACGUAAUGUGAAUUGCAGAAUUCAGUGAAUCAUCGAAUCUUUGAACGCAACUUGCGCUCCUUGGUAUUCCAUGGAGCAUGCCUGUUUGAGUGUCACGUAAACCCUCACCCUUGCGAUGUUAAAGUCGUCUUGUGGUGGAUUUGGAUUGUGCCGUAAUUGGCUCAUCCUGAAAUGCAUUAGCUUGCGCUUUUUACAGUGCUCGGCAUGGUGUGAUAAUUAUCUGCGCCGUCGCCUUAGGCCUGUUCUAUAUGUGCAGCUUCUAAUCGUCCCUUGUGGACAACUUUACUUAACGCUUUGGCCUCAAAUCAGGUAGGAUUACCCGCUGAACUUAA